This 491-nucleotide ribosomal RNA is filed under the name uncultured Mycobacterium sp. RNAcentral's name for it is "bacterial SSU rRNA". It matches the Rfam family "Bacterial small subunit ribosomal RNA", at positions 374 to 875 of the family's 1533-position model. The record is from RNAcentral. Lineage: Bacteria; Bacillati; Actinomycetota; Actinomycetes; Mycobacteriales; Mycobacteriaceae.
GGCGCAAGCCUGAUGCAGCGACGCCGCGUGGGGGAUGACGGCCUUCGGGUUGUAAACCUCUUUCAGUAGGGACGAAGCGCAAGUGACGGUACCUACAGAAGAAGGACCGGCCAACUACGUGCCAGCAGCCGCGGUAAUACGUAGGGUCCGAGCGUUGUCCGGAAUUACUGGGCGUAAAGAGCUCGUAGGUGGUUUGUCGCGUUGUUCGUGAAAACCGGGGGCUUAACCCUCGGCGUGCGGGCGAUACGGGCAGACUUGAGUACUGCAGGGGAGACUGGAAUUCCUGGUGUAGCGGUGGAAUGCGCAGAUAUCAGGAGGAACACCGGUGGCGAAGGCGGGUCUCUGGGCAGUAACUGACGCUGAGGAGCGAAAGCGUGGGGAGCGAACAGGAUUAGAUACCCUGGUAGUCCACGCCGUAAACGGUGGGUACUAGGUGUGGGUUUCCUUCCUUGGGAUCCGUGCCGUAGCUAACGCAUUAAGUACCCCGCCUG